CGAGGAUUCCCUUAGUAACUGCGAGUGAAAGGGGAAAAGCCCAGCGCUGAAUCCUUCAGCCACUGGCUGCUAGGAAUUGUAGCGUAUAGGUGCGACUGUCCGUUCGUUUCGUGCACCCAAAGUCCCCUUGAGCGGGGCUAUAGUCCAAAGAAGGUGCUAGACCUGUACGGGUGGCGAAGCGAACGGUUGGUUGCUCCUUGGAGUCGGGUUGCCUGGGAUCGCAGCCCAAAGUUGGUGGUAGACCUCAUCUAAGGCUAAAUAUGGCCACGAAACCGAUAGCAAACAAGUACCGUGAGGGAAAGUUGCAAAGAACUUUGAAGAGAGAGUUCAAGAGGGCGUGAAACCGUUGAGAUUGAAACGGAUAGAGUUAACGAAACUCGGCUGCAUUCAUCCGAUCGGCCUAAUGGAUCAAUAGCGUUCGCAUCCUCGAUGAGGGCAACGUUAUCGUUAACUAUUGGGUAAUUGAUCGGUGUAUUUGCGGCUGGUAUGCGCUGAGAGUUUUGUGAUCGCAUGUUAACGGGUGUGCAGUGGACCAUUCCUUCCGGGUGUGGAAACCUUCACAUCUUUAGGCAUGUCGAUUAUAAAGUUUUGAACGUGGCGUCUCCGCUAUUGUGCGUCGACUUAUGCGUACUAUUGUGAUUAUUGAAUAUUCGCAUGCGAAUAUUUGUAGUUAACGAUAUUGCGACAAAAGUGCGGACGCGUUGAGACGUGUAUCUCGGUGUGAACGUUGACCACCUAUCCGA
This 743-nucleotide ribosomal RNA is filed under the name Ascaris suum (pig roundworm). RNAcentral describes it as "eukaryotic LSU rRNA". It matches the Rfam family "Eukaryotic large subunit ribosomal RNA", at positions 69 to 647 of the family's 3401-position model. Lineage: Eukaryota; Metazoa; Nematoda; Chromadorea; Rhabditida; Ascarididae. The record is from RNAcentral. RNAcentral also lists the same sequence under 3 other names.